GUCGUUGUGUGGUGAGAACUGAUACAAAAUCGAUAACAACAAUGCCGCCAUUUUCUUUAUUUUUUGUAACCUACAAUAAAUAAAGCAGGCUUCCAGUCAAUGGAAAAAUGGCUUCUCCCCACCGGCGAUUGUUGUUGUUUACGAUUUUCUAUCAGUUCUCACCACACAACGACGUCUCAUCUUUGCUCCUUGAAUGUCGAUAUGUAAUGGUAUGGAGUUAUUGAAACUUACUACGUGUAAAAAAGACUAGAAAUUGAAUGUUUAUUUUUCAUUGAAUGUUUACAUAAAGUUGCACUGGGUGCCUUUAAAUGCAUGCACUGUAAUGAAAUAGAUUUUACCUGCUGCAAUUCCAUUAUUUAAGUGUAUUGCUAAUAAUGACAUGGCAUUAGAAAAUGUUUCAACAAAGCGGUUUUAACUGCAACAGCCAGGAAUACAUGGCAUAUCAUUCGUUCUCAUCCAUCCAUUCCUCCACGCAUUGCAGAGCUUCCAGUGACGGAUCAGAGGAGGAUUUAUGCGCGUUUCAGUGCGAGCGCUAAAAUUGGAAGGAACACGCGCGGACAGCCAAAAUAAUUCCUCAAGUGCUUGACGAGCAGCAGCCUCUCAGCAUGCCACUAGGCGCGUACAGUUGUAUCUAAAUAUUGUUUAUCACCUUGUGGUUACGAAGAGGGCUUGCAUGGGAGAGAAGUGUGUGCCAAUCAUCUGACCUCUGCAGCGCUUGCAGAUGCAGACUGGCAGAGACAAAGAGAAGUGGUGUAGGUCACGGGAGGUGUCAAACAGGAUUUACACGUCCUUUACUUGGUCCUACGUCAAGUGGGAGUUUUUAUCGGCUCUGAGGUCGCCUGGCCAUGCCAAAACAUUCACUAUCAGGUGAGGCGCAUUUCGCCUAUUGAUGGAUGAGUGUUAGGUCGACAGAGAGCACCAGGAAAGAAUGUGAUAAAACACAGCCCCACCAAUUAUAUAUUAAUUUUUUGAUUUAUUAUUGUUGUUUGUACAAACAAUGGCACAUAUUCAUAUACAUGACUUUAGCAACAUAAACAUUUAGAUAUAUAACAUCUCAUUUGUAAAUAUGUCCUGUUUUUACUUCAGUAAAAGUGCAUUGUAAAACAUGACACGACACGUUAUCAAAAAUAUGGAAACAUGAAAAAAAGAGGAGGGAAAUAAAUAACCAUGCCACUUGCAUAUGUAACAAUGGAACAUAUUUGAGUGUGUGGGUGCUGCCUCCAGGUGUGACCUUUCAUCUAGGUCUUGGAAGAACUGUAUCAUAACGCAUGAUUUCACAUAGCUAUAAAUAACCCAUGCCCGUCACACCAUGGUCAAAACAUCCAUCACUUUUCAAAAAGAAUGUACGACUAUAUACACAUUUUUAGUUAACAGUACAAAUCCACGUUUGUAUCGCUUUAUCGCGAGAUCAUGCUGGAAAAGACUCAUAGACACAGGUGACGGAGAUCCUACAUUUUGAUUUAAAACGUUUUUUUCUUAUGAAGCCCAUUUGGUCAUGCAAGAGAACCCUCCUGAAAUGCUUACAUAACUUUAAAACACGUCAUAGGGGAAACAUGAGCACAGACGAAUACAUGGUCAGCACCCAUAAUGUUCAUCAAAAUCCGGUUCUGCAUAUUCUUUGCACGACUCGGUGUCCAGUCACAACGGAGAAAGUGCUUUGGCCCUUUGUCUCUUCUAUGCGAGUGCCUGCAUUGUAGAUCUGAACGGCGUGUUGUUAUCCCACAUGACUCUUAACAGACCACCCGGGCAGCCAUCAUCUGGCACGAGGACUCCCAGCCGGUCCUUUUUAAGAAUCCCCCUGGCCUGUGGUGGAGUUAUCCGGCGCAGACAGGUAUCGGGUUAAGCGUGUGCUUCCAGGCGAUCCCCGACACCGCCCGCGUUGGGUUCGUCUAUUUAUUUUUCCCAUGAUUUUCCCCGUGUGGCACACAGUGAUUCAUUCCUGGGACGUCCGCCGGGGAGGGGUCGCCCACAAAAUGCCCCCCUCGAGAGAGAACGAUAGUGGGCGAGAGAGAACGAUAGUGGGCGAGAGAGAGCGAGAGAGAGCGAGAGAGAACGAUAGUGGGCGAAAGAGAGAGCGAGAGAGAACGAGAGAGAACGAGAGAGAGCGAGAGAGAGCGAAAGAGAACUAUAGUGGGCGAGAGAGAGCGAGAGAGAGCGAGAGAGAACGAUAGUGGGCGAGUGACAACGAGAGAGAGCGAGAGAGCGAGAGAGAAUGAUAGUGGGCGAGAGACAGCGAGAGAGAGCGAUUGUGGGCAAGAGAGAACGAUAGAGUGCGUGAGAGAACGAGAGAUCUCUAAAAAUAGACCUCGCCCCGACCUAGCUUCUCGUCCCAUACUGUGACCCCCCAUGUCCCUCUCCCCCGUCCCCCCCCCUAACCAGUUUUCAUCUUGAACUCUGAAGGGCGAAGAACACUAAUUGACUACCCCCGUUGACUACUUACUCAACAGUACCGUCUAUUAAAAAUAGCAGCACCCGCGGGUGGGGGGUACGACCGGUGCUGAGGAGCCUAGCAGAUGGGGCAGUAUGGAACGCAGGGGUGCAGCCCUGCUCCUGACAGGGACGUAUGGAUGGAAACCGAGUUCAUGCUGUGCUUUUAGGUGUUCGGACCCGGUGACAGCACACUUUGACAUGGAGACCCAUAAGCAGAGGAAGAGGUUCUUCUUG
Molecule: long non-coding RNA, 2664 nt
Organism: Gadus macrocephalus (Pacific cod)
Lineage: Eukaryota; Metazoa; Chordata; Actinopteri; Gadiformes; Gadidae
Exons: 2
Source: RefSeq, a predicted model, not a curated record